UGGUGGAGUGAUUUGUCAGGUUAAAUCCGGUAACGAACGAGACUUUGGCCUACUAAUUAACAAGGUUGCGUUAGCAAUGCUCGGUUACUUAGAGGGACUUUGUAUAAUGAACGCAAGGAAGUUCGAAGCUAUAACA
RNAcentral lists this ribosomal RNA (136 nucleotides) under uncultured eukaryote. RNAcentral's name for it is "partial 18S ribosomal RNA". It matches the Rfam family "Eukaryotic small subunit ribosomal RNA", at positions 1299 to 1458 of the family's 1831-position model. The record is from RNAcentral.